CUUGGUCAUUUAGAGGAAGUAAAAGUCGUAACAAGGUUUCCGUAGGUUCCGUAGGUGAACCUGCGGAAGGAUCAUUA
This 77-nucleotide ribosomal RNA is filed under the name Rhabdocline parkeri. RNAcentral's name for it is "partial 18S ribosomal RNA". It matches the Rfam family "Eukaryotic small subunit ribosomal RNA", at positions 1764 to 1831 of the family's 1831-position model. Lineage: Eukaryota; Fungi; Ascomycota; Leotiomycetes; Helotiales; Cenangiaceae. The record is from RNAcentral.